GCACCCGUAGCUCAGUUGGUUAGAGUGCAUGCUUGACAUGCAUGAGGUCGCUGGUUCGAGUCCAGCCGGGUGCA
Molecule: transfer RNA, 74 nt
Filed under: Thalassoglobus neptunius
Lineage: Bacteria; Pseudomonadati; Planctomycetota; Planctomycetia; Planctomycetales; Planctomycetaceae
Also listed under: 4 other names
Rfam family: tRNA
About the family: Transfer RNA (tRNA) molecules are approximately 80 nucleotides in length. Their secondary structure includes four short double-helical elements and three loops (D, anti-codon, and T loops).
Source: Rfam by way of RNAcentral